RNAcentral lists this transfer RNA (71 nucleotides) under Camelus bactrianus (Bactrian camel). It matches the Rfam family "tRNA". Rfam says of the family: Transfer RNA (tRNA) molecules are approximately 80 nucleotides in length. Their secondary structure includes four short double-helical elements and three loops (D, anti-codon, and T loops). RNAcentral also lists the same sequence under 2 other names. Lineage: Eukaryota; Metazoa; Chordata; Mammalia; Artiodactyla; Camelidae. The record is from Rfam by way of RNAcentral.
GGGGAUAUAGCUCAGUGGUAGAGUGCGUGCCUAGCACCCACAGGGUCCUGGGUUCGAUCCCAGUACCUCCA